GUCUUAUUUUUGAGGAAACAUGGUACUAAAAUUGAACAAUACAGAGAAGAUUAUCAUGGCCUCUGAGCAAGGAUGACAUGCAAAUUCAUGAAGCAUUCCAUAUUUUU
Molecule: small nuclear RNA, 107 nt
Organism: Otolemur garnettii (small-eared galago)
Lineage: Eukaryota; Metazoa; Chordata; Mammalia; Primates; Galagidae
Source: Ensembl